Molecule: ribosomal RNA, 424 nt
Filed under: Siphonaria sp. LINE-2015f
Lineage: Eukaryota; Metazoa; Mollusca; Gastropoda; Siphonariida; Siphonariidae
Description: partial 16S ribosomal RNA
Rfam family: Bacterial large subunit ribosomal RNA
Source: RNAcentral
AUAGCCUUAGGAAUUUAUUUAAGGUCUAGCCUGCCCAAUGUUUAAAUUAAUGGCCGCAGUACCUUAACUGUGCAAAGGUAGCAUAAUCAAUUGGCUUUUAAAUGGAGUCUUGUAUGAAAGGAGUGACGUGGUAAAGCUGUCUCAAUUUUGUUUUAUUUAACUUACUAAAAAGGUGAAAAAUCCUUUAAUUAUGAAAAAAGACGAGAAGACCCUUAGAGUUUUUAUAAAAGUUUAUUAAUAUAAGCUAAGUAUUUGUUGGGGCGACAAGGAAACAAAUAACUUUCCUGUUUUACUAGACGUGUUUUCAAAGUAAGAUUAAACUACCUAAGGGAUAACAGCAUAAUUCUUUUUGAGUUUGUGACCUCGAUGUUGGACUAGGAACUAACCAGACAAGCCGUCUGGCUUUGUGGCUCUGUUCGAGCUU